RNAcentral lists this unclassified non-coding RNA (347 nucleotides) under uncultured Geastrum. RNAcentral describes it as "sequence contains ITS1". The stretch from base 1 to 106 matches the Rfam family "5.8S ribosomal RNA", at positions 50 to 154 of the family's 154-position model. Lineage: Eukaryota; Fungi; Basidiomycota; Agaricomycetes; Geastrales; Geastraceae. The record is from RNAcentral.
GAACGUGCGAAACGUAAUGUGAAUUGCAGAAUUCAGUGAAUCAUCGAAUCUUUGAACGCAUCUUGCGCUCCUUGGCAUUCCGAGGAGCAUGCCUGUUUGAGUGUCGUGAAAUACUCUCAAUUUCAAUCUUUUUCGUUUGAAAUUGGAUUUGGAUGAUGUUGUGAUAACCACAGCUCAUUCUAAAUACAUUAGCGAUCUGGGUUUGAUCACAUGCAAUGUGAUAAGUUAAAAACAAAGCAUUGUUAAAGAUUGAGUCUCAGAUAGCUUCUAACUGUCGAAAGACAACAAGCAUAUAUAUAUGCAUGUCAUUUGACCUCAAAUCAGGUAGGACUACCCGCUGAACUUAA